GGCAAUAGCUCAGUUGGUAGAGCGUUGGCUUCCCAAGCCGAAGGUCGCGGGUUCGAGUCCCGUUUGCC
Molecule: transfer RNA, 68 nt
Filed under: mouse gut metagenome
Also listed under: 1 other name
Rfam family: tRNA
About the family: Transfer RNA (tRNA) molecules are approximately 80 nucleotides in length. Their secondary structure includes four short double-helical elements and three loops (D, anti-codon, and T loops). Further hydrogen bonds mediate the characteristic L-shaped molecular structure. tRNAs have two regions of fundamental functional importance: the anti-codon, which is responsible for specific mRNA codon recognition, and the 3' end, to which the tRNAs corresponding amino acid is attached (by aminoacyl-tRNA synthetases). tRNAs cope with the degeneracy of the genetic code in two manners: having more than one tRNA (with a specific anti-codon) for a particular amino acid; and 'wobble' base-pairing, i.e. permitting non-standard base-pairing at the 3rd anti-codon position.
Source: RNAcentral